RNAcentral lists this transfer RNA (72 nucleotides) under Ictidomys tridecemlineatus (thirteen-lined ground squirrel). Its description in RNAcentral is "Spermophilus tridecemlineatus (thirteen-lined ground squirrel) tRNA". It matches the Rfam family "tRNA". From Rfam's summary of the family: Transfer RNA (tRNA) molecules are approximately 80 nucleotides in length. The record is from Rfam by way of RNAcentral. Lineage: Eukaryota; Metazoa; Chordata; Mammalia; Rodentia; Sciuridae.
GGGGAUGUGGCUCAGUGAUAGAGUGUUUGCCUAGCACACAUGAUGCCCUGGGUUUGAUACCCAGCACCACCA